This 337-nucleotide long non-coding RNA is filed under the name Trifolium pratense (red clover). RNAcentral describes it as "long non-coding RNA (TPRA_LNC003361)". Lineage: Eukaryota; Viridiplantae; Streptophyta; Magnoliopsida; Fabales; Fabaceae. The record is from RNAcentral.
GACUAUAACUUCAGCUAGGAAUAUCGGAUUAAGGCGCGGUCAGUUGCAUUGGAAAGAUAAGACAAAGAGCUACAACUUUCUUGUUGAAGUCCAAAGCCAAUUCAGAGCGCAAAGGAGUCAUAUUUACUCGUCAAUGUCCCAGACUUGCCAAAAUUUAAUUAUUUUCAGGAUAACUUUUAUUUUUCGGCCCAAUUGUUUCGUGGCCCAUUUUCCUCGAUGUAUAAAAACGAAAUUGUGACAGAGUCAGGGAUUAUUCUGAAUUCACGAAAUACAAACCCUAGCAGCCACUACCUUCAUGGAGAACUAAACUUAUUUUCGAUCCAUUGGUGUAAGGAAN